RNAcentral lists this ribosomal RNA (253 nucleotides) under uncultured bacterium. RNAcentral describes it as "partial 16S ribosomal RNA". It matches the Rfam family "Bacterial small subunit ribosomal RNA", at positions 524 to 776 of the family's 1533-position model. The record is from RNAcentral.
UACGUAGGGUGCGAGCGUUGUCCGGAUUUAUUGGGCGUAAAGAGCGUGUAGGCGGCUUUACAGGUCCGUUGUGAAAACUCGAGGCUCAACCUCGAGACGCCGGUGGAAACCGUAAGGCUAGAGUCCGGAAGAGGAGAGUGGAAUUCCUGGUGUAGCGGUGAAAUGCGCAGAUAUCAGGAGGAACACCCGUGGCGAAAGCGGCUCUCUGGGACGGUACUGACGCUGAGGAGCGAAAGCGUGGGUAGCAAACAGG